ACAGAGGUUCUCUGGAAACUCUGAAAUUAGUCAAAACCUCUGAAUAAAAAGUGUUGUCACAGGAGUCUAAUGAUGAUGGAUGAUCUUUGGCAACGGAUGAUCCUUCUAAAACAUUUAUUGAUAUCAAAUCAACUCUGGAGUUUUACCUUACUAGAUCAAUGGAUGAAUUUUUUUCAGCUGCAAAGAGAAUGAAAAUAGUUGGAAGGUAUCGGCAUUUGUAUAAAUCUGCGAAAAGACUGAUAAUUUGAAAACAUUCCAGUCCUAUAACUUAAUGGUCCAAUCUUAAAAUUCUUCGACACGUGGUACAGGACUAGCAAAGUGUGAGAGUGAAAGAAAUCUUUUUGCAUCGUACUGAUGGUCGAAUGGAGGGUAAUAUCUAAUUUUCAGCUAGAAACUCAAGCCUUCAGAAAGAAAAGAAACAUCUUGAGACAGUUAUCCAUACUUUACUACCAAAUCAUUCUAAUCCAGCAUCCUGGAGAGGGGGUCUGUGGUGGUUGUCAUCUGACGAUUCUCUGGAAACACCAAAUGGCAGAGGUUUUGCUUUUAGCAGAAAUAUAUUAAUCUGUCAUUCGUAAAAAAAAUUUAGGCAAACUAUACCCUUAUUAAAUUUUUGCUGCAGCUUCAAAGAGUGGUGGACCGAUACCGUGGAUAUAAUAUGUAAUCAGAAGAAGAAGAAGAAAACAAAAAAUCUUAAUCUGAAAGAAAUAUAUUAUUACUUCACCAGAGGAAUUUUGUUAUGGUAACCAUUCUGGUUGUUUGUUUUUUCAAAACAUACAAAUAUAUUCUCUAACAUCAAUUCAA
Argiope bruennichi is the source of this 801-nucleotide long non-coding RNA. RefSeq lists it as uncharacterized. The transcript is spliced from 4 exons. The record is from RefSeq and is a predicted model, not a curated record. Lineage: Eukaryota; Metazoa; Arthropoda; Arachnida; Araneae; Araneidae.